AGGACGAACGCUGGCGGCGUGCUUAACACAUGCAAGUCGAGCGAGGUUUAGAACCGAGCGGCGAACGGGUGAGUAAUACUUGGGAAUCUACCCUGAAGUGGGGGAUAACGUUCAGAAAUGAACGCUAAUACCGCAUAAUCCAUAUCGGGAAAGCGCGCUGCGCUUUAGGAUGAGCCCAAGUCUGAUUAGCUAGUUGGUGGGGUAAAGGCCCACCAAGGCGACGAUCAGUAGCUGGUCUGAGAGGAUGAUCAGCCACACUGGAACUGAGACACGGUCCAGACUCCUACGGGAGGCAGCAGUGGGGAAUCUUGCGCAAUGGGGGCAACCCUGACGCAGCCAUACCGCGUGUGUGAUGAAGGUCUUCGGAUUGUAAAGCACUUUCAGUGGGGACGACAAUGACGGUACCCACAGAAGAAGUCACGGCUAACUUCGUGCCAGCAGCCGC
RNAcentral lists this ribosomal RNA (445 nucleotides) under uncultured bacterium. RNAcentral describes it as "SSU rRNA". It matches the Rfam family "Bacterial small subunit ribosomal RNA", at positions 26 to 518 of the family's 1533-position model. The record is from RNAcentral.